Molecule: transfer RNA, 92 nt
Filed under: Alphaproteobacteria bacterium
Lineage: Bacteria; Pseudomonadati; Pseudomonadota; Alphaproteobacteria
Description: tRNA-Ser
Rfam family: tRNA
About the family: Transfer RNA (tRNA) molecules are approximately 80 nucleotides in length. Their secondary structure includes four short double-helical elements and three loops (D, anti-codon, and T loops).
Source: RNAcentral
CGGAUAGAUGGCCGAGUGGUCGAAGGCGCACGAUUGGAAAUCGUGUGUACCUCUAAAGGGUACCGAGGGUUCGAAUCCCUCUCUAUCAGCCA